CAUUUUUUUAGAAAGGGAAUAACACAUAUUGGUUGUUUUCAUGGUAUUAGCCACCUCUAUUGUGUGUCUCAAUCAUUUAAAUUUUGGGCAUUGUACUAUCAUGGAUCAGUUUUGCAAUAAAUUGGUAGAAGUUUUUGCCCCCAAGAAUAUAAUGAGAAAUAUUUGCCGCAACUAAACUUUGCUGAGCAUGUCUAUUAACACUUUCCUCUUCUCCUAUUAGAUGUAAUGAUGUAGACCAAAGCAACCCUCAUGUAUAUUGAUACUAUACUAGAAGGCCACUGAAGAAUUUUACAGAACAAGAGAAGAUGGCGUGCACCAUAUCUUUAAGAUGACUUCCCUCACCAUGUGGCAUGCACUUUUCGGUUUUACUUUAGCGCAAUUGCCAUGUAUGUAAGGGAUGCAAUUAGGCUGAAUAUUGCAAUUGUAGUUUUUUCUAAACUUUUUCAACAUCCCAGCAUUAGUAAAAUACUCCCCCCAUUCCAUAAUGUAAGACUUUUUUGCAAGUUAUAUGUUUGUACAUUAUAUUGCUGGAAAUCAAGAAUUUACUCUUUUUGACUAAUAUUGUGUUUUAAUAGUCCAUUUCCUUUGUUUCAAAGGGUUGCGAUAGUGAAUAAAGCAAGAGCAACACCUUGUUUGUCG
Molecule: long non-coding RNA, 639 nt
Filed under: Triticum aestivum (bread wheat)
Lineage: Eukaryota; Viridiplantae; Streptophyta; Magnoliopsida; Poales; Poaceae
Description: long non-coding RNA (TAES_LNC017660)
Source: RNAcentral